AACGCUAGCUACAGGCUUAACACAUGCAAGUCGAGGGGCAGCAUGAACUUAGCUUGCUAAGUUUGAUGGCGACCGGCGCACGGGUGAGUAACACGUAUCCAACCUGCCGAUGACUCGGGGAUAGCCUUUCGAAAGAAAGAUUAAUACCCGAUGGCAUAGUUCUUCCGCAUGGUGGAACUAUUAAAGAAUUUCGGUCAUCGAUGGGGAUGCGUUCCAUUAGGUUGUUGGCGGGGUAACGGCCCACCAAGCCUUCGAUGGAUAGGGGUUCUGAGAGGAAGGUCCCCCACAUUGGAACUGAGACACGGUCCAAACUCCUACGGGAGGCAGCAGUGAGGAAUAUUGGUCAAUGGACGAGAGUCUGAACCAGCCAAGUAGCGUGAAGGAUGACUGCCCUAUGGGUUGUAAACUUCUUUUAUACGGGAAUAAAGUGAGGCACGUGUGCCUUUUUGUAUGUACCGUAUGAAUAAGGAUCGGCUAACUCCGUGCCAGCAGCCGCGGUAAUACGGAGGAUCCGAGCGUUAUCCGGAUUUACUGGGUUUAAAGGGAGCGUAGGCGGACGCUUAAGUCAGUUGUGAAAGUUUGCGGCUCAACCGUAAAAUUGCAGUUGAUACUGGGUUUCUUGAGUACAGUAGAGGUGGGCGGAAUUCGUGGUGUAGCGGUGAAAUGCUUAGAUAUCACGAAGAACUCCGAUUG
RNAcentral lists this ribosomal RNA (693 nucleotides) under uncultured bacterium. RNAcentral describes it as "bacterial SSU rRNA". It matches the Rfam family "Bacterial small subunit ribosomal RNA", at positions 32 to 715 of the family's 1533-position model. The record is from RNAcentral.